GCCAGGCACGGUGGCGCAUGCCUGUAAUCCCAGCAGCUUGGGAGGCUGAGACGGGAGUCCCGAUCAGGAGUUCAAAGCCAGCCUCAGCAACUUAUCAAGACCCUAAGCAACUCAACCCUCUCUCUA
Molecule: small RNA, 126 nt
Filed under: Marmota monax (woodchuck)
Lineage: Eukaryota; Metazoa; Chordata; Mammalia; Rodentia; Sciuridae
Source: RNAcentral